Molecule: long non-coding RNA, 3664 nt
Organism: Mizuhopecten yessoensis (Yesso scallop)
Lineage: Eukaryota; Metazoa; Mollusca; Bivalvia; Pectinida; Pectinidae
Exons: 2
Source: RefSeq, a predicted model, not a curated record
ACUCAUUAAUUAUGUCUUUGACGCCUGUCAAAAGUUUUUCGCCGUGUAAAACCUCUAACAUUGUUGGAGUAGACAUAUUCCAACGGUAUACUGUGGAGAUCAUGUCAUUAGAAAUAACUGUCGGUUUUGCAUCUGCUAGUACCCAUGUAACCCUCUUUUUGAGUUGGUUUUUGUUCAGGUACAUGUGACUUGUCUGUUGUUUGUAAAGCUAAACAUUUCUUUUUAUAAUGAUACACCAUUGAAUAAGCUGUUAUAUCAUUGCAUUUGUCAAUCAUGUUCAAUAUUGAAUACAUCUGGGGGUUUUGUGUGUCGGUCAUUACUAAAGACUUAACUUAAGAUAUGGGCACAAGAAAUUGCAAUAUAAAUGUAGUGUAGAUCAGAGAGUUUGAAACCAAGACUGCCUGAGAUAUCAUAACAACUCCUCAACAGAAGGAAAUAAUAGUUUUAGUACAUUAAAUUGUUUUACACAUUUUCAAUGAGAUAUGGGGAAAUAAGUGCCAUACUGCCUGUGCACUUCCCUGUUUAGCCCGUCGUCAGAUUAAUGACGGGUCAGGGUGUCAUAAUAAUGUGUCCAAGUUACGACAUUUCAGUGAGAUUACACUUCAAAGUGGACAUCGUCUUCAUAUGGCAUCAAAUGUUACGAGGACGCAAAAGAAUGAACAUCUCAUAACAUCUCAUAUCAGUUUUGUCAUCGUAUGUUUAAAACAUGAAAGUUGUAAGAGUACAAUGUGGAAAUCUUGUGUUUAAUUUUGCAAAAUAGUGAUGUUUUAUUGUAUUGAAAUUACAUACCAAUGGACAUUUUUACUAAUUUAAUAUCUUGUGUUUAUCUAAUUAUGCAAAAUAUUGAUGUACAAAUGUAUUAUUUCUAACAUCAUUUUUUACUCCAUUAUGUAUAAUCUUAACUUUCCUCAAGUUCAGUAGGUUGUUCCGCUGUUUAUUCUGUCAAAGUUCAAAGUUGUUUAUGGUGGAUUUCUACAAUCUGAUUGGCUGGUAGUUUCUUCACCAUAACAUCAGUUCCCAACCUCAUCUUUACCCAGCUUUCUAAUGUAAUAAUAACAAGAGUGCUUUAUUUAUAGACGAUAACUCUUUUUUUUUUAAGUUUCAGAGUUUUGUGUCUUGAGGCAUAUAUAUAAAUAUAUUGUAUGCUCAAGAUAUUUUAAUAUUUAUCAAUGAAGUUUUCAUUAGUAUCCAUAGGUUAUAGGUCAUGAAAAAUCAUGAUACUUGUAUAUAUAGCAUGCAAUUGAAAAAAAUGAACAGUAAUAUGAACAGAGUAGAUCACAAUCUGCUGCUUUUAUACUAUACAGAUAUAAUAUUAAAUUAACAUGAACUUCUAGAAAGUAAUGUCUGUAAUAUUUUGAUUUGGAGAUCUAGGGUGCCUUACAUUUUAGUUGCUUUCAUGGAUCAUUUAUUUGUUUGAUUUUGCCUGUUGUAUGUCUACUAUUCUUUUCAAGAAUUCUGCUCAAUGAUAUUUGCAUUGCUAUAUUUUGAGAGGUGAAAAACAAAUUAUAUGGCAAUUUUCAUUUUAUCUUUUUUGGAAAUCCACAACUAUAUUAUCAGCAACAUGUACACAGAAAAAAGUGAUGCAUUCCAUUCUCUUUGCCAUCGGCCUAUGGUUACAUUUCAAUUUAAUGUACAGGUAAUGUUUUUCACUUUGAUUUACAAGUUGUAAUUUUCAAUGUUUUCAUAUCAAAGGAACCUUGAUUAUACAUGUACUUCGAAACAGUGAGAAAUUUGUCUCAUAAAAGUUUGAUACAUGAAUAGAAUAUUAUUAGUGUUAUGUAAGGGGAAAUUCAGGAUUUUGCCUAAGUAAGUUCGACACAUCGAGAAAUUUGAAUCAACACUGUUAUCUAGGUACAUGUAGAUAUAUGAAAAGAACUCGUCUCCCAACCAUCCCCUAUCGUCACUUCUAAUCAGUCACAAAACUCUUGACCAAGACCUUGGGAAUAUCUACUGGUACUUCCCAAUCUAUUGGUGGACCCCACUAGCAAUGAAAUGUCAGUGCUAAUUAUCUCCCCUGUUCAAAGAACGUAGCUUUAGUUUGACCCCAGCUUUAUUGUAGAACAGGUUUUAGAGGUAAGAUAUGUGAAGACUUGCCAUUUAUUAUAAAUGUAUCUGCUAACAUGUUGAAAUUUAACAUGAUAGUUCAUUUGAAAAUUAAUUGACAAACUUGCCUACUCUUCCUAUUUUGAAGGGAGACUCCUGAUUUUGAACUUUAAAGUUGAGUAUUUUUUUAACGGCUGUGAAAAUGUAAUUGGAAAAUACGUUGUACUUAAAGUUUUAGUGCUGCCUUUUUAGUGACCUAAACUAACAGUGAGAUUUUUGGGGCAAGAUUUUAGAAGGUUUGUCAUUGGUCCAGUAUUAAUGUGCUAGUAUACUAAUUUUUAACAUAAAGGUACAUGGGGGUGGGGAGUGGGGGUGGGGCAGGGUUAACAUGAAAUGGUGUUAGUGAUUAUGAUAAAAGAGUUAUUGUACAAACGCAUUGAUGGUAGCUUUGCCACAUUCUCUGUUUUUAUGUUUACGGGAAUAUAGAGCGUUGUGAUUAGGUGGAAGAGUGAGAAAACACUCUAUCCCACUGUAUAUAGUUUACAGAUACUUGGCAUUACAUGUAAUUGCAAAAUAUUGGUUCAACCAAUUCCCAUAGUUAUAAAACCAUUUUAAUGAAAAGGCCAAGUUGAUGAGGAAGAAAAUAAAUAAACUAUGUAAAUUUCUAAUCUGUCCGAAUAAAAAUGAAUUUUAUGAAUAUGAACUCAGAUUUUAUCAUUUUUGUCUUGUCCUGAUAAAGUUGUGGAAGCGAUACUAAGGUGUUGCUUUUCUUGCAACGGUGUUGGCAUCAACAACAAGUUUUUGCAUUUAACUCAGUUUCACUGAAAGUAUAAGUGGUAGACCAACUAAACUUGGAACAUGCAUCUUAUAGGUAGUACAUCUCAAGCCAUGCUAUGCGGCCUAACUUUCAUGGUCCAUCGCCUUCGUCAGCAUCUCCAUCAACAUUUAGGUUUUGCGUUUAAGGUAUUUUCUCUGAAACGAAGUGCUACACCAACCAAACUUAUUAUCAUUUCAAAUGUCGUCUACAUUAAAUUUAUUUCGCCGAUGCACAGGCGGAACAUAUCAAUCCGAAUGGCUUGUUUCCUAGAAAGACUUGGCAGGGUGAUAACAUGAUGCAGGGAUUUUGUAAAUAGGCGAAAUAUCUUUCCAGUUAAACUUCUAGUUGGACUCAUUUGCUUAUUGCUUAUAUAUUGCUUAGCUUUGUAGGUUAACAAUGGAAUUGAUGCUGUCAUCAACAUAACAUUACUAUCACAAUCAUAAUUUCUGUUUCGACUAUUAAAGACCUUCCAUUUAGUAGUGUUUUGUUCUUUACAGUAUUCUGAAUAUGGAAAAAUGGAAAAAUAAUGCUUGAAUCUGCUUUGCUUUAAAUUCAUGCCAUGAUAAAUUGAGUUAUUGAGAAAACUGCAGCUCAUUAUUUACUGUUAUUCCAAGACUUGGCUUAAUUUGUGAUCUCACGAACUGACUGAAAUAACAUUCAACCCUGUUUACAAUAUUUUGAUAGUAUUCACGUUGUGAAGGUAACAUUCAUAAUGCCUCUGUAUAUAUUUUCAGAUGAAGUAAUGCAUAUUUAUUGUGAUACACAUUUAUACAAUGUAAAUAAAAACAAACAUUAAAUAUUUAA